RNAcentral lists this transfer RNA (76 nucleotides) under Clostridiales bacterium. RNAcentral describes it as "tRNA-Trp". It matches the Rfam family "tRNA". From Rfam's summary of the family: Transfer RNA (tRNA) molecules are approximately 80 nucleotides in length. Their secondary structure includes four short double-helical elements and three loops (D, anti-codon, and T loops). Further hydrogen bonds mediate the characteristic L-shaped molecular structure. tRNAs have two regions of fundamental functional importance: the anti-codon, which is responsible for specific mRNA codon recognition, and the 3' end, to which the tRNAs corresponding amino acid is attached (by aminoacyl-tRNA synthetases). tRNAs cope with the degeneracy of the genetic code in two manners: having more than one tRNA (with a specific anti-codon) for a particular amino acid; and 'wobble' base-pairing, i.e. permitting non-standard base-pairing at the 3rd anti-codon position. The record is from RNAcentral. Lineage: Bacteria; Bacillati; Bacillota; Clostridia; Eubacteriales.
AGGGGCAUAGCUCAGUUGGUAGAGCGGCGGUCUCCAAAACCGCGUGCCGUGGGUUCAAGUCCUACUGCCCCUGCCA